AUACAGAGGGUGCGAGCGUUAAUCGGAAUUACUGGGCGUAAAGCGCGCGUAGGCGGCUUGGUCAGUCGGAUGUGAAAGCCCCGGGCUUAACCUGGGAAUUGCAUUCGAUACUGCUAGGCUGGAAUGUAGUAGAGGGUAGUGGAAUUCCGGGUGUAGCGGUGAAAUGCGUAGAUAUCCGGAGGAACAUCAGUGGCGAAGGCGACUACCUGGACUAACAUUGACGCUGAGGUGCGAAAGCGUGGGGAGCAAACAGGAUUAGAUACCCCAGUAGUCC
Molecule: ribosomal RNA, 274 nt
Filed under: uncultured bacterium
Lineage: Bacteria
Description: partial 16S ribosomal RNA
Rfam family: Bacterial small subunit ribosomal RNA
Source: RNAcentral